RNAcentral lists this ribosomal RNA (435 nucleotides) under uncultured Lactobacillus sp. Its description in RNAcentral is "partial 16S ribosomal RNA". The record is from RNAcentral. Lineage: Bacteria; Bacillati; Bacillota; Bacilli; Lactobacillales; Lactobacillaceae.
CACGUAGUUAGCCGUGACUUUCUAAGUAAUUACCGUCAAAUAAAGGCCAGUUACUACCUCUAUCUUUCUUCACUACCAACAGAGCUUUACGAGCCGAAACCCUUCUUCACUCACGCGGCGUUGCUCCAUCAGACUUUCGUCCAUUGUGGAAGAUUCCCUACUGCUGCCUCCCGUAGGAGUUUGGGCCGUGUCUCAGUCCAAUGUGGCCGAUCAGUCUCUCAACUCGGCUAUGCAUCAUUGCCUUGGUAAGCCGUUACCUUACCAACUAGCUAAUGCACCGCAGGUCCAUCCAAGACGUGAUAGCAGAACCAUCUUUACAAACUCUAGACAUGCGUCUAGUUGUUGUUACUCCGGUAUUAGCAUUCUUGUUUCCUAGGUUGUUACUCCAGUUCUCGUUGGGCUACGGUUACCCACGUUGUUACCUCCACCCGUCCG